UGAAAAGAAGAAGAAAAAAGAAU
This 23-nucleotide small RNA is filed under the name Arabidopsis thaliana (thale cress). RNAcentral's name for it is "ATSL250020". Lineage: Eukaryota; Viridiplantae; Streptophyta; Magnoliopsida; Brassicales; Brassicaceae. The record is from RNAcentral.